CCUGCUCCCAACCCCCUCCAGCCUCCAGCAGCAGCAGCAGCAGCACCAGCAGCAGCAGUGGCAGCAGCAGCGCCCCUGAAGUCUCUUGUGGAAGGCAGAACUGCCUUAGGAAGCAUGAAAGUGGACGCAGCCCUGUGCCAGGUGUCAACUAUUUGAGCUCGCUUCCCGGCCCCAUUGAUUUCCAGCUCCGCUCCCAGAUACUUCGCGAGGCGCUCCCUUUUGCCCGCCCGACUUCUGAGCGGAGCGCUCGGGUGGGAGGAGAACCGGCAAAUCCUCGCGGGCGCCGGGCGCUCGCGGAGCCGCCCGCGCCCAGCCCCGUCACGUUGGCUGCCGAGCGCAUCCCGGCUGCGCCCUGGCGGGGAGGCGCAGAGGGUAGCUAAGGGGAGCAGGUCACGUGAGAGGAGGAGUCUGACCUACUUUCCAGGCGGCAGGCGCAUGCGCACUUCCUAUCUGCGCGCUGGCCGGGAGGCUCACGUGGAAUCGCACGUGCCUGGUUCUCCAGCUAGGGGCUCCUGGCCGGGCGCGCGCAGUGGUAGGUCCGCGGUGGGACCGGCGGAGGAGGGCGCGGCAGGGCGGAGCGCUUGGAGACUUAAUCUGCGGGUCCCGCAAUCAUCAUCCGUGACAACCGCAGCCUCUGGAGAGCUGCUUAGGCGCCCUGCGGGGCUUCCCACGAAUUCAUCACAUUCAACAUUCGUGAAUUCAGAAAUUAAGACACAGACUGCCCCUCUGCCCUGUAAAUCACCAGUUCUGCAACUCAGAAUUUAUCCUGCAAUGGGCUUCUGCUCCUGUGAAAUUAAGUCCCUGAAAGGAUAAUCAUUACAUCAUUGUUGGACAUCACAGACGGCCGAACCAGUCAAAAUGUCCAACGAUAAAACCGGUUAAAUUCGUAGAAACAUAAAUUAUGGUUGGACCACACUUGAAGUUGUCUGCAGCUCUUAAAAACAAAUAGACUCUGCUCUCUAGACACUAAUAUGGAAAGACCUUCAAGAUACAUUAUGUGAUUUGUAAAAAAUGAUGCAGAACAGUGUAUGGGAUGCUGACAUUUGUGAGGAAAAAAAGUAUAUAUGUAUAUAUGUUAUGAACAGACUAGUUCUGAAAAAAUAUAUUGGAUGACUGGGGGUGGGGGUCAGGGAAGACGCAAAACUCCACACUUAUGUAACUUUUAAAUUUUGUAGCAUGGAUGAUUAAUCUUUUUUUUUUCAAAUAACAUUUAAAAACAGAGUUAUUUAGCACUUACCCUGUGCUGGGUACCAGCUUUUAUGUAAAUCAUUUCCUUCUAGAAAGUUUGUCAUGUACAGUAUCUGCCGCAUUUCCUGUUCUGUUCGGCUUGAAUCUUAAUGUCUUGAGCUUUCUGAUAAACUGUUGAGACAUUUUUUUAAAAAUCCCGAUAUGAACAACCCGAGUCCUCCACAUCUUUAAGAUUCUUUUCAAGUUCUGUCUCUUGAGGGAAGGUAUCUUAACCAAGAGGCUCUCAGCAACAAAUACUUGCAUAAUAAAGCCGACACAGCAGUUUUACACA
RNAcentral lists this long non-coding RNA (1519 nucleotides) under Macaca mulatta (Rhesus monkey). RNAcentral describes it as "lncRNA (ENSMMUG00000049997.1)". The record is from RNAcentral. Lineage: Eukaryota; Metazoa; Chordata; Mammalia; Primates; Cercopithecidae.